AGAGUUUGAUCAUGGCUCAGAUUGAACGCUAGCGGCAUGCUUUACACAUGCAAGUCGAACGGUAACAGGUCUUCGGAUGCUGACGAGUGGCGAACGGGUGAGUAAUACAUCGGAACGUGCCUAGUAGUGGGGGAUAACUACUCGAAAGAGUAGCUAAUACCGCAUGAGAUCUACGGAUGAAAGCAGGGGACCUUCGGGCCUUGUGCUACUAGAGCGGCUGAUGGCAGAUUAGGUAGUUGGUGGGGUAAAGGCUUACCAAGCCUGCGAUCUGUAGCUGGUCUGAGAGGACGACCAGCCACACUGGGACUGAGACACGGCCCAGACUCCUACGGGAGGCAGCAGUGGGGAAUUUUGGACAAUGGGCGAAAGCCUGAUCCAGCAAUGCCGCGUGCAGGAUGAAGGCCCUCGGGUUGUAAACUGCUUUUGUACGGAACGAAAAGCCUGGGGCUAAUAUCCCCGGGUCAUGACGGUACCGUAAGAAUAAGCACCGGCUAACUACGUGCCAGCAGCCGCGGUAAUACGUAGGGUGCAAGCGUUAAUCGGAAUUACUGAGCGUAAAGCGUGCGCAGGCGGUUUUGUAAGACAGUGGUGAAAUCCCCGGGCUCAACCUGGGAACUGCCAUUGUGACUGCAAGGCUAGAGUGCGGCAGAGGGGGAUGGAAUUCCGCGUGUAGCAGUGAAAUGCGUAGAUAUGCGGAGGAACACCGAUGGCGAAGGCAAUCCCCUGGGCCUGCACUGACGCUCAUGCACGAAAGCGUGGGGAGCAAACAGGAUUAGAUACCCUGGUAGUCCACGCCCUAAACGAUGUCAACUGGUUGUUGGGUCUUAACUGACUCAGUAACGAAGCUAACGCGUGAAGUUGA
Molecule: ribosomal RNA, 862 nt
Filed under: uncultured bacterium
Lineage: Bacteria
Description: bacterial SSU rRNA
Rfam family: Bacterial small subunit ribosomal RNA
Source: RNAcentral